AACUCAUUAUUUCUAGGAGCUUUUUUUGCAGAUUUUUUGAGGUUUUCUACACAGCAAAUCACGUCAUCUGUGAAGAGAGAGUUUAAUUUCUUUUCCAGUCUUCUCCUGAAGUGCCCUCUGUCCACAGAGUGCACCUGCUGAGGAGUCACUGAGGACCAGCUGAGUGACACAGGCAGUUACACACAAGCAUGGAGCCAAGAUACCUGACAGUGGCGUGGACUUCCUGGAAGAAGUGAAUGUGAAUAGAACUGAAAGUAGAGGAGAAAGGGCAUUCUCAUGCAGGUCCUGUAACCUUGGCUGCUCUGAGAUGCUAUCAUUGAUCCUUUUUGUCUGGUAAAAUUGCUACAACCUUGGGAAAAUAUCUAAAUAAGUUUAAGAAUAACCUUAGGAUGAUAUCAUGUGAGUAUAACUAUAGGGGUAGAAGAUAUCUGAGGAGUGGGAGAAGGAGUUGAACAGAGAAACACUCGCCAGUCCAUGAUGCAAACUCAUCCUAGUUUGAAGACCAUGGAGUAGCAGAGGAGCUAAGCCGUCUUCUCGGGUGUUCGUGUUUUGUGUGUUCUCAGCAACUCAGGCGGAGACAUGGAGGACACGUGUUUGGGUUUGUUCAGUGUUGGGGGUUUGAAAGAGAGAUGAGGAAAAACACUGAGGAAAGAAUGAGGAAAGAAUGUUUUAUAGACAGUGUUAUUUAAAUGAUGAAUUCUGGAUCUCAAAGAUAAGAAGGGAGGAGUGAGUGAAGGUACUUGUGAGGCUGAAGUGGGACUAAUUUAAUAAGCUAGAUGAGAAAAAACAGUUUUGUUUAGAGAAGGGGAUGAUUGACUUAGGGAUUUUGGAAUGUGGAGCAGUCUACCGUAUAACCAAGUUCAGGAAUAAACUGGAGUGGAUUAGAGAGGGUCAUUUGGAGAUGAAGAGGCUAAGGAAGUGAACCAACAUGUUCAAUAAAUCUUCCUUGUGGAAUCUGAAGUGAUGCUAGAUUUGAUGUUGGAAUUUUGACAGUUUAGGUUGGCUAUAAACAGAGUGGGAUGGAAUAUUUAAUGACUGAAAAUUCAUGAGACAGAUUAUUUAAUGAUUGAAGAGGAAUAAAUUGGUGGCCAAUAGAUAACGGUAUUUAGAGAACAGUAUAAUCAAAGGACAGAAAUGUCAAAGGAGACAUUUCAAUUUUAACAGGAGGUGCAAUAAGAAGCCACAGGGAGCCAGAAAGAUAGCACUUAUACUUCCUUUAUCUAGAAUUAAAACAAACGUGAGACAACAAUCAUUUACCACUUAAAAGGGCCUCAGGGGAGAUGAUAUGCAAACCAAGGCAAGAAACAACCUAUGGAAGGCAUCACAAUAGCUAUAGGAACAUUAGGCUCCAUCAAUAUGGAACCAGGUUUUCCAGAAUUUUCCACGUUUUCUCUACUAGACGAUGAACUCCUUGAACGAUGAUGUCUGUAACGUAGAAAAUGCUUAAUAAGGGCUCGCCAAAUUGAAGUGGACUUCACAUACCUGCUCUUGCCAUAAGCACGCCGGUUUCAAGAAAAGAAGAAUUAUAAGUCAAUCACUUUCUACUUCAGGAGAGAAAGAAGGCUGGAGGCAAUGGCAAGCUCCUUAUGAUUCCUGGGACUUGCUGCUUUCUUUACAUGGCAGUUGCUUUUUCUCCUGACGCUGCAUGAGGCUCCAGGAAUAAAGGCGCUCAGAAGAGAAGGUGGAUUUGUACAAGGCCUUCAUGACAGGAGGGAGCCAGUUAGGAUGAGAGCAGAAUCGCCCUCCUCAGCUGUGCCCACAGAGCCCUUGGCUGAGGCCGGGCUCAGGGCUGCCUGCUUUCACCGCUCCCACCGCUUCUUUACCUCCCACAUCCUAUUUGUUUUUAUCAAGCCUUCUUUUCGGAUAUUCAGAGACAAACUCAAUCAAAACCUUGUCUGGAGAUUUGCAGAGAUCCUCAGGUUUGGACUUGCCUCAGGCAAGGAUGUGACGGGCUGACAGCGGGGAAUAGCCUGUGGAUCUCUGAACUGUGCUGCUUCCACCUGCCCGAGCCAUUAAGCAGAUGACCCUAGCGUCUGGGAAGCAUAAACAUUACCUGUGAGCAAUAAAACCAAGGGGAGAAUAAGCUAUAAAGUAAUGCAUUUUCACAGCAACAGCUCCUAGGGGGAGGAAAGGGCUCCAAGAAAAGCAGCAGACUAUUUUUCAUAGCGUGGCUUUCUCUCCGCUGCUCCUGUCUUCACCCACCCUCGCUCAGGCAGAACACCACACUGGAGGUGAAGAAGAACAGCAGGGUGAAGAGAAGUUACGCCAAUCCAAAAUCAGAAAAUUUGCCUCUGUCUAGAAAUAAAGAAAAAUAGAAGAUCACCAACACCUUUCCCAUUACGCUCCUCCAUGAACACAAUCCCAUUCCUCUGCUCUCCUGGAUUCAGUGAUAAUCACUUCCUGCUUCUCUUUUACAAUCUUAUUCCAUGUUGUUGGAAGAGGUCAUGGAGAGGAGGUGGACCCGGAUGACGCUGGAGCUGGACCCAGUGAUCAGAGCCUCAUCACCCCCGCCCCUGUCCUUGGAGCGUACGUUCUGCCCACUGUUCUCCCAGCCGGAGCCAUUUUCAAGGACGCAGCCUUGGGAGAGUGAGGUGGUGUUGGGACCAUUUGGACUGAAUACAUGACUGAACCCAGGUUAGGCCGCUACAUAAACUUUGAAGAUUCUGGCAGGUGGGUGCAGAGAUCUACUCAUCUUGCAGCUGCCCUAGACAAGCCUCAUAGAUAAUCUCAAUUAUCUAAGAGGACGGCGGAGACAAAUAUGAGGAAAAUUGGCCUCUGAAGGUCAUCUCAGCCAGAAAAUAAUUUGGCUUGCUUAAUAGUUUACCAUGUAUAGGGCAUUCAUUUGUUUAUGUUUUGUAUUGAAUCAGAACUAAUCCUCUUCAUUACUAUAAAAAGAGGAGCCAUUCCACGGGGUCCAAGAACUUCCAGGUACUUCUGAGUACUUAAAAGCUAAAAUGGAG
This is a long non-coding RNA of Equus caballus (horse), 2960 nucleotides long. The record is from Ensembl. Lineage: Eukaryota; Metazoa; Chordata; Mammalia; Perissodactyla; Equidae.